This 379-nucleotide unclassified non-coding RNA is filed under the name soil metagenome. RNAcentral's name for it is "partial contains 5.8S ribosomal RNA, internal transcribed spacer 2, and large subunit ribosomal RNA". The stretch from base 1 to 120 matches the Rfam family "5.8S ribosomal RNA", at positions 35 to 154 of the family's 154-position model. The record is from RNAcentral.
GAUGAAGAACGCAGCGAAAUGCGAUAAGUAAUGUGAAUUGCAGAAUUCAGUGAAUCAUCGAAUCUUUGAACGCACAUUGCGUCCGCCAGUAUUCUGGCGGGCAUGCCUGUUCGAGCGUCAUUUCAACCCUCAAGCCCCAGCGGCCUGGUGUUGGGGACCGGCGACCUCGCCCGAGCCCGCCCUCCGGGGCGCGUGCCCGGUGCGUCCGCCGCCCCCGAAAUGAAUUGGCGGCCUCGUCGCGGCCUCCUCUGCGUAGUAGCACAACCUCGCAAGCGGGAGCGCGACGCGGCCACUGCCGUAAAACGCCCAACUUUUUUAGAGUUGACCUCGGAUCAGGUAGGAAUACCCGCUGAACUUAAGCAUAUCAAUAAGCGGAGGA